AAAACUCCCAUGUAUGCAUGUAUGUACUUUAAAUUAAACUCAAAGAGUGCAAAAAAUAGAACUAACAAAUUUAAAAUACUAACGGCCAUCAUCCAGCAAAUCAGCACAUUGAGAAGGACUAUAGACCACCUCAGAAUCAUCCGGUCUUUACGAAGCAGCUUUUUGCAAAUCAUAUUAAGUCUGCUAGCAGCAGGAGAGUAGUGGUCAUUCAAAUAGACUCUUAAAUCAACAUCUCCAUCCACAAAAUCACGAACC
This is a long non-coding RNA of Lucilia cuprina (Australian sheep blowfly), 255 nucleotides long. RefSeq lists it as uncharacterized. The transcript has 2 exons. NCBI's taxonomy places the organism in Eukaryota, Metazoa, Arthropoda, Insecta, Diptera, Calliphoridae. The record is from RefSeq and is a predicted model, not a curated record.